AGUCCCGUAGCUCAGUUGGUAGAGUGCCUUCCUUACAAGCAGGAUGUCACAGGUUCGAUUCCUGUCGGGACUACCA
RNAcentral lists this transfer RNA (76 nucleotides) under Calothrix parasitica NIES-267. Its description in RNAcentral is "tRNA-Val". It matches the Rfam family "tRNA". From Rfam's summary of the family: Transfer RNA (tRNA) molecules are approximately 80 nucleotides in length. Their secondary structure includes four short double-helical elements and three loops (D, anti-codon, and T loops). Further hydrogen bonds mediate the characteristic L-shaped molecular structure. tRNAs have two regions of fundamental functional importance: the anti-codon, which is responsible for specific mRNA codon recognition, and the 3' end, to which the tRNAs corresponding amino acid is attached (by aminoacyl-tRNA synthetases). tRNAs cope with the degeneracy of the genetic code in two manners: having more than one tRNA (with a specific anti-codon) for a particular amino acid; and 'wobble' base-pairing, i.e. permitting non-standard base-pairing at the 3rd anti-codon position. RNAcentral also lists the same sequence under 2 other names. The record is from RNAcentral. Lineage: Bacteria; Bacillati; Cyanobacteriota; Cyanophyceae; Nostocales; Calotrichaceae.